Molecule: ribosomal RNA, 253 nt
Filed under: uncultured bacterium
Lineage: Bacteria
Description: partial 16S ribosomal RNA
Rfam family: Bacterial small subunit ribosomal RNA
Source: RNAcentral
UACGUAGGGGACUAGCGUUGUUCGGAAUUACUGGGCGUAAAGCGCUUGUAGGCGGAUUUGUAAGUCAGGGGUGAAAUCCCGGGGCUCAACCUCGGAACUGCCUUUGAUACUGCAAAUCUCGAGUCCGAUAGAGGUGGGUGGAAUUCCUAGUGUAGAGGUGAAAUUCGUAGAUAUUAGGAAGAACACCGGUGGCGAAGGCGGCCCACUGGAUCGGUACUGACGCUGAGGUGCGAAAGCGUGGGGAGCAAACAGG